Molecule: ribosomal RNA, 491 nt
Filed under: uncultured bacterium
Lineage: Bacteria
Description: partial 16S ribosomal RNA
Rfam family: Bacterial small subunit ribosomal RNA
Source: RNAcentral
AGUGAACGCUGGCGGUAGGCCUAACACAUGCAAGUCGAACGGCAGCACUGUAAGAGCUUGCUCUUACGGGUGGCGAGUGGCGGACGGGUGAGGAAUACAUCGGAAUCUACUUUUUCGUGGGGGUUAAGGAGGGGAACCUUACCUAAUACCGCCUUCGGACUAACGGGGGAAAGCAGGGGACCUCGGACCCUGCGCGGUUGGAUGAGCCGAUGUCGGAUUAGCUAGUUGGCGGGGUAAAGGCCCACCAAGGCGACGAUCCGUAGCUGGUCUGAGAGGAUGAUCAGCCACACUGGAACUGAGACACGGUCCAGACUCCUACGGGAGGCAGCAGUGGGGAAUAUUGGACAAUGGGCGCAAGCCUGAUCCAGCCAUACCGCGUGGGUGAAGAAGGCCUUCGGGUUGUAAAGCCCUUUUGUUGGGAAAGAAAAGCAGCAGGUUAAUACCCCGCUGUUCUGACGGUACCCAAAGAAUAAGCACCGGCUAACUUCGUG